GAGAAGACACUGUAAUUGAACUCCAAGG
Molecule: non-coding RNA, 28 nt
Filed under: Mus musculus (house mouse)
Lineage: Eukaryota; Metazoa; Chordata; Mammalia; Rodentia; Muridae
Source: RNAcentral